UACGGAGGGGGCAAGCGUUAUUCGGAAUUACUGGGCGUAAAGGGCGCGUAGGCGGUUUUCUAAGUUGGAUGUGAAAACUCUGGGCUUAACCCAGAGCCUGCAUCCAAAACUGGCAAACUUGAGUACUGGAGGGGAAAGCGGAAUUCCUGGUGUAGCGGUGAAAUGCGUAGAUAUCAGGAGGAACACCGGUGGCGAAGGCGGCUUUCUGGACAGAAACUGACGCUGAGGCGCGAAAGCGAGGGGAGCAAACAGG
This 253-nucleotide ribosomal RNA is filed under the name uncultured bacterium. Its description in RNAcentral is "partial 16S ribosomal RNA". It matches the Rfam family "Bacterial small subunit ribosomal RNA", at positions 524 to 776 of the family's 1533-position model. The record is from RNAcentral.